UGCUGUAGCUCAGUUGGGGGAGGGUUAUACUGAAGAUCUAAAGGUUCUUGGUUUAAUCCCGGGUUUUGGCAG
This 72-nucleotide transfer RNA is filed under the name Hippoglossus stenolepis (Pacific halibut). RNAcentral describes it as "tRNA-Phe". Lineage: Eukaryota; Metazoa; Chordata; Actinopteri; Pleuronectiformes; Pleuronectidae. The record is from RNAcentral.